GUGGAUUAGAUACCCUAGUAGUCCAUGCCGUAAACGUUGGGCACUAGGUGUGGGGUCCAUUCCACGGAUUCCGUGCCGCAGCUAACGCAUUAAGUGCCCCGCCUGGGGAGUACGGCCGCAAGGCUAAAACUCAAAGAAAUUGACGGGGGCCCGCACAAGCGGCGGAGCAUGCGGAUUAAUUCGAUGCAACGCGAAGAACCUUACCAAGGCUUGACAUACACCGGAAAAGUGCAGAGAUGUGCUCCCCGUAAGGUCGGUGUACAGGUGGUGCAUGGCCGUCGUCAGCU
RNAcentral lists this ribosomal RNA (287 nucleotides) under uncultured bacterium. RNAcentral's name for it is "partial 16S ribosomal RNA". It matches the Rfam family "Bacterial small subunit ribosomal RNA", at positions 773 to 1060 of the family's 1533-position model. The record is from RNAcentral.